UCUUCCUCUAUCCCCUCUUCCCCUCUCCAUAAAUACCCUUGACUGUCACCGGCCAUCCUAAUAUCGUCGAGACCCUCUCCUCUAUCUGCUCAACCAAAAUCCAAUGCCACCUACCACCAGUGAAACCCCAUCAACCUCAUGCCUCCACUAGCCACGAUCGAUCCACCCACCGGUUGAAAUAGACGGUGUUGCUGUUCCAUUAUCUUGCCUAGUGAAAAUCCAGUAGAACCAGAUCUAAACGUCACCAAAAGAAACAAACUCAAUUCCACUAGCGGAUCCAAUAAGAUCCCAGCUACUAGUCGCCGUUACACUGAAGCUAUGCAGCCAACAAAAUCAAUCCAGUCGCCACUGACGAAUCCCACCGGAGAGAAACCAUCCAGCAACUUAUCUUCUCUUCUAUGUUCCCUUCUCCCCCUCUCAGGGGAGAAACAACAUGCAUAAAUGACUACUUUUUGCCCUGUUAGCUGUGUAAGACGCCCAAAUCUCAUCGAAAUACGAUGGGUUCUUACGAACCCAUCUCAGGUUUAGAUGUCAUAUUCUAUUUUUUAUUGUAAAAACCUUUUUUUCUCUUCUCUUAUUAAUUUUUUGUUUUUCUUGAUCUGAAAUUUAAAAAGUGUGAUUAUGAGUAGCGUUAAAUCCCCUUGUGAUUUAUGUUUGUCUAAUCGUCUAUGUAGUCAUACGUGAGAACUCCC
RNAcentral lists this long non-coding RNA (692 nucleotides) under Capsicum annuum. Its description in RNAcentral is "long non-coding RNA (CANN_LNC006687)". The record is from RNAcentral. Lineage: Eukaryota; Viridiplantae; Streptophyta; Magnoliopsida; Solanales; Solanaceae.